This 475-nucleotide ribosomal RNA is filed under the name uncultured bacterium. Its description in RNAcentral is "bacterial SSU rRNA". It matches the Rfam family "Bacterial small subunit ribosomal RNA", at positions 335 to 796 of the family's 1533-position model. The record is from RNAcentral.
ACUCCUACGGGGAGGCAGCAGGUGAGGAAUAUUGGUCAAUAGGGUGCAAGCCUGAACCAGCCAUCCCGCGUGAAGGAACGACUGCCCUAUGGGUUGUAAACUUCUUUUGUAUAGGGAUAAACCUACCCUCGUGAGGGUAGCUGAAGGUACUAUACGAAUAAGCACCGGCUAACUCCGUGCCAGCAGCCGCGGUAAUACGGGAGGGGUGCAAGCGUUAUCCGGAUUUAUUGGGGUUUAAAGGGUCCGUAGGCGGACUUAUAAGUCAGUGGUGAAAGCCUGUCGCUUAACGAUAGAACUGCCAUUGAUACUGUAAGUCUUGAGUAUAUUUGAGGUAGCUGGAAUAAGUAGUGUAGCGGUGAAAUGCAUAGAUAUUACUUAGAACACCAAUUGCGAAGGCAGGUUACCAAGAUAUAACUGACGCUGAGGGACGAAAGCGUGGGGAGCGAACAGGAUUAGAUACCCUGGUAGGAUAGCC